Carassius auratus (goldfish) is the source of this 1962-nucleotide long non-coding RNA. RefSeq lists it as uncharacterized. The transcript is spliced from 3 exons. The record is from RefSeq and is a predicted model, not a curated record. Lineage: Eukaryota; Metazoa; Chordata; Actinopteri; Cypriniformes; Cyprinidae.
UGUGUGUGUGUGUGUGUGUGUGUGUGUGUGUGUGUGUGUGUGUGUGUGUGUGUGUGUGUGUGUGUGUGUGUGUGUGUGUGUGUGUGUGUGUGUGUGUGUGUGUUUGUUUAUAUUACAUAGUGGGGUCCACAACACGUUAGCACACUCACAUAGUGGGGACCGAAAACAUAGUGGGGACCAAAUCCCCGGUCCCCACAAUGUUUUGCUUUUAAUCGGCUCAGGAGGCGGUGCUGAUAUGACUAGUGCAGUUUUUUUCUUGAUCCCCUCCAUGAACAAAAACCGGAUUUCUGUGUGUGAGUGUGUGGGGCCGCGCUGCUCUACAGCGCCCCUGUAGCCAGGUCGCGGAACUGCACCUCUAUACACACAUGUGACGUAAUAUAUGAAGGUACACAUUUUUUAAACCGCUCAUGCCAAAGUCGCUUAAUUAAACGACAAAAACAACUUUAAACAGUGUCUGUCAACGGGGAAAGUACAUUCUUUCAGGUAAUUAACCUACUUGUAAAUAUUAUAUUACAUAAUUCAAUAAAUAUACAUCACAAAUUCGAAUUAUUUUUAAGAAUGUUUAUGUGAUGGAGUUUUUUAAUGAGAUUAAUUAAUUAACGUUAAAGUUUUUAUCAGAAUCAUAAUCUUUGAAUAAGGCUAAUGAAUUAUUGCUUAACUUAAAUUUAAUGCUGUUAUACAAUUUAAAGUGUUUACUUGUGCGUGUUACUGCGUAUUGUAAAGUGUUAUAAACUGCGGUGUGGCGGGAGAUUGUGAGACCGCGUGACCUCUCUCAAUUACUGGAACCCGAGGAGCGACGUGAGACGGCCUGUUGAAAUGAAACGGAGAAGAAUAAAACCGUUAAAAGAAGCGGAAGAUCAUGUUCUCCGUUGCAUCGACAAGACCGACGCACUGGAGGCCAAACACAUAAACGAUUAUAAAGGUAGGUUUGUAAAUCACUUCGAUGUUGUUGUGACUGAUUGUGAUUAGCACUACGGCGCUCCCCACAUGACGCGGGAAAUAUAAAUAUAUAACUUCUCAUGGCUAUGAAUUGGAUGUCUUCCACGAAUUAAUUAUGAAACUGCUAACACCAGGGAAUAAAAUAGGAAUUCCUGGCCACGAAUAAACAAGGCAGCGAAAGAUUUCUUAUUUUUGCUUCCACUAUAUAGCAAAGAGCCUAUAGUACUGUAUAGUAAGGCCUAGGUAUUGCUAGCAGCACUGGGUUUCUUAAUUGGUAACGUUAUGUGUGAGUCACAUACGUUUUAAAUAUGAUUUAAGUGGUUCAAAAAUACAAAAUAAGUAACCAUGAUUAUUUUAUGGGAUCUGGGUCCAUUGGGAUAUAAAGGAUAAUGUUAGUGUUGUUUGUUUUAGCAGUUUUAAAUUGCUCUUUGUGAUAGUAUAUGUAAAUUAAUGAAAGAAAUACGCAUGAGCUAUGAAAGAAUGUUGAAUACAUUGGUUAAACUAAUACAAAGCAUAAAAGUUGUUUACAGUUGGCUAACCAUCAACAUAUUAGUUACAUGUCUACAAUGAAUUUUAUUAACAAUUGUAUUUACCCCCCUCCCCCCACCUUUUUUCAGGUCGUGGAGUCUUUGCCUUAAUUCCUUUUAUUAAAGGAGAUUUUGUUGUCGAAUAUAGGGGAGAAAUGAUUAGCUUAAUUGAAGCCGAACAAAGAAGAGAGGCCAAUCAAGACACUUUUUUUAUGUUUGACUUCAUCUGGCAGAACAAGAAAUGGAGCAUUGAUGCAACUCAUGAGGAUGGCACCCUUGGCCGCCUUAUAAAUGAUGAUCACAUAAACCCAAAUUGUACAAUGAAAAGGAUUAUCGUUGAGGGAAAACCCUGUUUGUGCCUAUUCGCUGCAAGAGAUAUCAUUCCUGGAGAGGAACUCACAUAUGACUAUGGAGGAAGUCACUGGCCUUGGAGAAAGCCUCCAUGCAAGGAUGAUGACAACAUGACAGCAAUAGAUAACUGCUCUGAGGAUUCUGU